RNAcentral lists this ribosomal RNA (468 nucleotides) under uncultured bacterium. Its description in RNAcentral is "partial 16S ribosomal RNA". It matches the Rfam family "Bacterial small subunit ribosomal RNA", at positions 28 to 507 of the family's 1533-position model. The record is from RNAcentral.
GACGAACGCUGGCGGCGUGCUUAACACAUGCAAGUCGAACGGAAAGGCCCUGCUUUUGUGGGGUGCUCGAGUGGCGAACGGGUGAGUAACACGUGAGUAACCUGCCCUUGACUUUGGGAUAACUUCAGGAAACUGGGGCUAAUACCGGAUAGGAGCUCCUGCUGCAUGGUGGGGGUUGGAAAGUUUCGGCGGUUGGGGAUGGACUCGCGGCUUAUCAGCUUGUUGGUGGGGUAGUGGCUUACCAAGGCUUUGACGGGUAGCCGGCCUGAGAGGGUGACCGGCCACAUUGGGACUGAGAUACGGCCCAGACUCCUACGGGAGGCAGCAGUGGGGAAUAUUGCACAAUGGGCGGAAGCCUGAUGCAGCAGCGCCGCGUGCGGGAUGACGGCCUUCGGGUUGUAAACCGCUUUCGCCUGUGACAAAGCGUGAGUGACGGUAAUGGGUAAAGAAGCACCGGCUAACUACGUG